This 497-nucleotide ribosomal RNA is filed under the name uncultured bacterium. RNAcentral describes it as "partial 16S ribosomal RNA". It matches the Rfam family "Bacterial small subunit ribosomal RNA", at positions 28 to 507 of the family's 1533-position model. The record is from RNAcentral.
GACGAACGCUGGCGGCGUGCCUAAUACAUGCAAGUCGAGCGGACGGACGCUAAGCUUGCUGUUCUGAUGUUAGCGGCGGACGGGUGUGUAACGCGUGGAUAACCUACCUAUCAGAGGGGGAUCAUUUCGGGAAACCGGAGCUAAUACCGGAUAAUAUUCUGAACCGCGGGGGUCAAAGGAGAAAGACGGUCUUGCUGUCACUUAUAGAUGGAUCCGCGCUGCAUUAGCUAGUUGGUAAGGUAACGGCUUACCAAGGCAAGGAUGCAUAGCCGACGUGAGAGACUGAUAGGCGACAUUGGAACUUAAACGCGGUCCUGACUCCUACGGGAGGGACCAGUAGCGAACGGUACGCAGUGGGCGAAAACCUGACGGAGCGACGGCACGUGAGAGAUAGAAGUCUUCCGAUCGUAAUACCCUCUUAUGAGUGAUGAACAGCUUUCGACGUAGCUGUACAGAUAUUGACGGUAACGGAUCAGAAAGCCACGGCUAACUACGUG